Molecule: ribosomal RNA, 207 nt
Filed under: uncultured bacterium
Lineage: Bacteria
Description: partial 16S ribosomal RNA
Rfam family: Bacterial small subunit ribosomal RNA
Source: RNAcentral
CGUGUAGGCGGUUUCGUAUGUCUGGCGUGAAAGCCCCGGGCUCACCCUGGGAAGUGCGUUGGAAACUGCGAGACUAGAGUCCCGGAGAGGAAGGUGGAAUUCCAGGUGUAGCGGUGAAAUGCGUAGAUAUCUGGAAGAACACCGGCGGCGAAGGCGGCCUUCUGGACGGUGACUGACGCUGAGACGCGAAAGCGUGGGGAGCAAACA